RNAcentral lists this ribosomal RNA (301 nucleotides) under uncultured bacterium. Its description in RNAcentral is "partial 16S ribosomal RNA". It matches the Rfam family "Bacterial small subunit ribosomal RNA", at positions 509 to 809 of the family's 1533-position model. The record is from RNAcentral.
CAGCAGCCGCGGUAAUACGAAGGGUGCAAGCGUUAAUCGGAAUUACUGGGCGUAAAGCGUGCGUAGGCGGUGAGUUAAGUCUGCUGUGAAAUCCCCGGGCUCAACCUGGGAAUGGCAGUGGAUACUGGCUCGCUAGAGUGUGUCAGAGGAUGGUGGAAUUCCCGGUGUAGCGGUGAAAUGCGUAGAGAUCGGGAGGAACAUCAGUGGCGAAGGCGGCCAUCUGGGACAACACUGACGCUGAGGCACGAAAGCGUGGGGAGCAAACAGGAUUAGAUACCCGAGUAGUCCCUGUCUCUUAUAA